GUAGAUGGCAAGCGUUGUCCGGAAUUAUUGGGCGUAAAGCGCGCGCAGGCGGUUCUUUAAGUCUGAUGUGAAAGCCCACGGCUCAACCGUGGAGGGUCAUUGGAAACUGGAGAACUUGAGUACAGAAGAGGAAAGCGGAAUUCCACGUGUAGCGGUGAAAUGCGUAGAGAUGUGGAGGAACACCAGUGGCGAAGGCGGCUUUCUGGUCUGUAACUGACGCUGAGGCGCGAAAGCGUGGGGGAGCAAACAGGAUUAGAUACCCUGGUAGUCCACGCCGUAAACGAUGAGUGCUAAGUGUUAGGGGGUUUCCGCCCCUUAGUGCUGCAGCUAACGCAUUAAGCACUCCGCCUGGGAGUACGGCCGCAAGGCUG
RNAcentral lists this ribosomal RNA (371 nucleotides) under uncultured organism. RNAcentral's name for it is "partial 16S ribosomal RNA". It matches the Rfam family "Bacterial small subunit ribosomal RNA", at positions 527 to 896 of the family's 1533-position model. The record is from RNAcentral.